AUUGAACGCUGGCGGCAGGCCUAACACAUGCAAGUCGAGCGGUAGCACAGAGAGCUUGCUCUCGGGUGACGAGCGGCGGACGGGUGAGUAAUGUCUGGGAAACUGCCUGAUGGAGGGGGAUAACUACUGGAAACGGUAGCUAAUACCGCAUAACGUCGCAAGACCAAAGUGGGGGACCUUCGGGCCUCAUGCCAUCAGAUGUGCCCAGAUGGGAUUAGCUAGUAGGUGGGGUAACGGCUCACCUAGGCGACGAUCCCUAGCUGGUCUGAGAGGAUGACCAGCCACACUGGAACUGAGACACGGUCCAGACUCCUACGGGAGGCAGCAGUGGGGAAUAUUGCACAAUGGGCGCAAGCCUGAUGCAGCCAUGCCGCGUGUGUGAAGAAGGCCUUCGGGUUGUAAAGCACUUUCAGCGGGGAGGAAGGCGGUGAGGUUAAUAACCUCAUCGAUUGACGUUACCCGCAGAAGAAGCACCGGCUAACUCCGUGCCAGCAGCCGCGGUAAUACGGAGGGUGCAAGCGUUAAUCGGAAUUACUGGGCGUAAAGCGCACGCAGGCGGUCUGUCAAGUCGGAUGUGAAAUCCCCGGGCUCAACCUGGGAACUGCAUUCGAAACUGGCAGGCUAGAGUCUUGUAGAGGGGGGUAGAAUUCCAGGUGUAGCGGUGAAAUGCGUAGAGAUCUGGAGGAAUACCGGUGGCGAAGGCGGCCCCCUGGACAAAGACUGACGCUCAGGUGCGAAAGCGUGGGGAGCAAACAGGAUUAGAUACCCUGGUAGUCCACGCCGUAAACGAUGUCGAUUUGGAGGUUGUGCCCUUGAGGCGUGGCUUCCGGAGCUAACGCGUUAAAUCGACCGCCUGGGGAGUACGGCCGCAAGGUUAAAACUCAAAUGAAUUGACGGGGGCCCGCACAAGCGGUGGAGCAUGUGGUUUAAUUCGAUGCAACGCGAAGAACCUUACCUGGUCUUGACAUCCACAGAACUUAGCAGAGAUGCUUUGGUGCCUUCGGGAACUGUGAGACAGGUGCUGCAUGGCUGUCGUCAGCUCGUGUUGUGAAAUGUUGGGUUAAGUCCCGCAACGAGCGCAACCCUUAUCCUUUGUUGCCAGCGGUUAGGCCGGGAACUCAAAGGAGACUGCCAGUGAUAAACUGGAGGAAGGUGGGGAUGACGUCAAGUCAUCAUGGCCCUUACGACCAGGGCUACACACGUGCUACAAUGGCAUAUACAAAGAGAAGCGACCUCGCGAGAGCAAGCGGACCUCAUAAAGUAUGUCGUAGUCCGGAUUGGAGUCUGCAACUCGACUCCAUGAAGUCGGAAUCGCUAGUAAUCGUAGAUCAGAAUGCUACGGUGAAUACGUUCCCGGGCCUUGUACACACCGCCCGUCACACCAUGGGAGUGGGUUGCAAAAGAAGUAGGUAGCUUAACCUUCGGGAGGGCGCUUACCACUUUGUGAUUCAUGACUGGGGUGA
This 1463-nucleotide ribosomal RNA is filed under the name uncultured Klebsiella sp. RNAcentral describes it as "bacterial SSU rRNA". It matches the Rfam family "Bacterial small subunit ribosomal RNA". Lineage: Bacteria; Pseudomonadati; Pseudomonadota; Gammaproteobacteria; Enterobacterales; Enterobacteriaceae. The record is from RNAcentral.